RNAcentral lists this ribosomal RNA (497 nucleotides) under uncultured bacterium. Its description in RNAcentral is "partial 16S ribosomal RNA". It matches the Rfam family "Bacterial small subunit ribosomal RNA", at positions 28 to 507 of the family's 1533-position model. The record is from RNAcentral.
GAUGAACGCUGGCGGCGUGCCUAAUACAUGCAAGUCGAGCGAACAGACGAGGAGCUUGCUCCUCUGACGUUAGCGGCGGACGGGUGAGUAACACGUGGAUAACCUACCUAUAAGACUGGGAUAACUUUGGGAAACCGGAGCUAAUACCGGAUAAUAUAUUGAACCGCAUGGUUCAAUAGUGAAAGACGGUUUUGCUGUCACUUAUAGAUGGAUCCGCGCCGCAUUAGCUAGUUGGUAAGGUAACGGCUUACCAAGGCGACGAUGCGUAGCCGACCUGAGAGGGUGAUCGGCCACACUGGAACUGAGACACGGUCCAGACUCCUACGGGAGGCAGCAGUAGGGAAUCUUCCGCAAUGGGCGAAAGCCUGACGGAGCAACGCGGCGUGAGUGAUGAAGGUCUUCGGAUCGUAAAACUCUGUUAUUAGGGAAGAACAAAUGUGUAAGUAACUAUGCACGUCUUGACGGUACCUAAUCAGAAAGCCACGGCUAACUACGUG